This is an RNA transcript of Mangifera indica (mango), 959 nucleotides long. RefSeq lists it as uncharacterized. Lineage: Eukaryota; Viridiplantae; Streptophyta; Magnoliopsida; Sapindales; Anacardiaceae. The record is from RefSeq and is a predicted model, not a curated record. The transcript has 4 exons.
CGCCCGAAGACGGAAGGGGCACAUAACUGAUAAUUCUGAAAGCUGGUUCUUUGUAAGAGCCAUCCAUGGCGGCACUAAAUGUUUACGCAUCAAGUAACCCAGAUAAAGUUCAUACGGACGUGCUCUUCAAAGCAAGAGAAGGUUGUUACAAGACUCGUGACGCUUUUUAUUCGUGCUUGGAGAAAGAAGCCAACGAGAAACCAACUGAAAUCGCCUCUGUGGGCCUCUUGUACCCAGUUGAAUGCAAGAAAUCGAGGGAGGAUUUUCUCAAGAGUUGCCGAACUUCUUGGGUGAAGCAUUUCGAUAGAUUGUUUUGCAAGAACAAGAGGGUACAGAGGCUAUUGGAUGAUGGUGGUCAAACAACAAGGAGAGGAGUGUAAAGCUGGAUUGGGAAUGCAAGGAGGCCUAUAAUGGGUUUAAGACUUUCAGCAAAUUUACGGGCUUGGUUAUUUCUUGUCGAGUUGUUUCUGGUUGCUGUUUAAAUCUGAUUGAAAAGGUGUAUUUGAACCUAAUACGAUUACAUUCUUUAUACUAAUAAAGAAUGUAAAUUCAGGCACAUGGAUGAUGUGGUGCCCCCAAUGCAUAGAAAAUUUAACCUUGCUGUAUAGUGGUAAUCUGAAUUUUGUAAGAGGUUACCCAAAUUCAAGAAGUGGCGGAUUUGAAAAAUGGAUGAUCGCUUAUUUGUAUGGUCAAACAUAGCAGGUACAACCUGUGGACUGGAGUGAUCCACUGCAGUGCAGUUACGACUUGUUGUAGAAAUAUGAUGAGCAAAUACAUGUGUUAAGUAUCUGCUGGCUAGGGUUUGUAUAUAAAAGUUGUUAUAAAAAGUAUGUGAAAAAAUAGAGUGUGCUGCCACAAAUUAGAGGCUAAGAAUAAGAGCUCAAACAGAGAGAACGAAGAAAUAUCUUCUUCAUCUUGUAAUCUUUUUCAUUUAUAGUGGAAUUUUUCUCCAUCAUCUA